UAACGCGUGGGUAACCUGCCUCAUACAGGGGGAUAACAGUUAGAAAUGACUGCUAAUACCGCAUAAGCGCACAGUAUCACAUGGUACGGUGUGAAAAACUCCAGUGGUAUGAGAUGGACCCGCGUCUGAUUAGCUGGUUGGUGGGGUAACGGCCCACCAAGGCGACGAUCAGUAGCCGACCUGAGAGGGUGAUCGGCCACAUUGGGACUGAGACACGGCCCAAACUCCUACGGGAGGCAGCAGUGGGGAAUAUUGCACAAUGGGGGAAACCCUGAUGCAGCAACGCCGCGUGAGUGAAGAAGUAUUUCGGUAUGUAAAGCUCUAUCAGCAGGGAAGAAAAUGACGGUACCUGACUAAGAAGCCCCGGCUAACUACGUGCCAGCAGCCGCGGUAAUACGUAGGGGGCAAGCGUUAUCCGGAUUUACUGGGUGUAAAGGGAGCGUAGACGGCAGCGCAAGUCUGAAGUGAAAGCCCGGGGCUCAACCCCGGAAUGGCUUUGGAAACUGUGCAGCUAGAGUACCGGAGGGGUAAGCGGAAUUCCUAGUGUAGCGGUGAAAUGCGUAGAUAUUAGGAGGAACACCAGUGACGAAGGCGGCUUACUGGACGGUAACUGACGUUGAGGCUCGAAAGCGUGGGGAGCAAACAGGAUUAGAUACCCUGGUAGUCCACGCGGUAAACGAUGAAUGCUAGGUGU
Molecule: ribosomal RNA, 694 nt
Filed under: uncultured bacterium
Lineage: Bacteria
Description: bacterial SSU rRNA
Rfam family: Bacterial small subunit ribosomal RNA
Source: RNAcentral